Molecule: ribosomal RNA, 464 nt
Filed under: uncultured organism
Description: bacterial SSU rRNA
Rfam family: Bacterial small subunit ribosomal RNA
Source: RNAcentral
GACGAACGCUGGCGGCGUGCUUAACACAUGCAAGUCGAGCGGUAAGGCCCUUUCGGGGGUACACGAGCGGCGAACGGGUGAGUAACACGUGGGUGACCUGCCCUCCACUCUGGGAUAAGCCCGGGAAACUGGGUCUAAUACCGGAUAGGACCACUGAUCGCAUGGUUGGUGGUGGAAAGUUUUUUCGGUGGGGGAUGGGCCCGCGGCCUAUCAGCUUGUUGGUGGGGUGAUGGCCUACCAAGGCGGUGACGGGUAGCCGGCCUGAGAGGGCGACCGGCCACACUGGGACUGAGACACGGCCCAGACUCCUACGGGAGGCAGCAGUGGGGAAUAUUGCGCAAUGGGCGGAAGCCUGACGCAGCGACGCCGCGUGGGGGAUGACGGCCUUCGGGUUGUAAACCUCUUUCGCCAGGGACGAAGAGCAAUUGACGGUACCUGGAGAAGAAGCACCGGCCAACUACGUG